Molecule: non-coding RNA, 27 nt
Filed under: Rattus norvegicus (Norway rat)
Lineage: Eukaryota; Metazoa; Chordata; Mammalia; Rodentia; Muridae
Source: RNAcentral
UGGUAGCUUGAAAGAAAAACCAUAGGC